AGUGCUGUUUAAGGGUUCGCCCUUAGUCUGCGUUGCAUGCGGUGGAGCAUAAUAAUAGGGUAAACCAGGUAUUUAUAACUUGAAUACAUAGGGUUAUAAAAGCAAACCCGGGGAACUGAAACAUCUAAGUACCCGGAGGAAAGGACAUCAAUUAGAUACUCCCCUAGUAGCGGCGAGCGAACGGGGACCAGCCGAGCCAUGAGUGUGACUAGAAUGUGUUGGAAAGCACAACCAAAGUGGGUGACAGUCCCGUAUAGGAAGCAUGAUUGGACGUAUUAAGUAGGGCGGGACACGUGAAAUCCUGUUCGAAGAUCGGAGGACCACCUCCGAAGGCUAAGUACUCCUUACUGACCGAUAGUGAACCAGUACCGUGAGGGAAAGGUGAAAAGCACCCCGACGAGGGGAGUGAAACAGUUUCUGAAACCGGACGCCUACAAUCAGUUGGAGGGCCCUUGCGGCCUGACAGCGUACCUUUUGUAUAAUGGGUCAUCGACUUAGUGUAUCUAGCAAGCUUAAGCCGUUAGGUGUAGGCGCAGCGAAAGCGAGUCUUAAUAGGGCGAUUGAGUUAGAUGCAUUAGACCCGAAACCGAGUGAUCUAGGCAUGACCAGGUUGAAGGUUGGGUAACACCAACUGGAGGACCGAACCCACAUCUGUUGAAAAAGAUCGGGAUGAGUUGUGCCUAGGGGUGAAAGGCCAAUCAAACUCGGAGAUAGCUGGUUCUCCGCGAAAUCUAUUUAGGUAGAGCGUCAUCCGAAUACCCCGGGGGGUAGAGCACUGGAUGGGUAAUGGGGCCCCACAGGCUUACUGAUCCUAGCCAAA
RNAcentral lists this ribosomal RNA (820 nucleotides) under uncultured bacterium. RNAcentral describes it as "bacterial LSU rRNA". It matches the Rfam family "Bacterial large subunit ribosomal RNA", at positions 42 to 953 of the family's 2925-position model. The record is from RNAcentral.